RNAcentral lists this long non-coding RNA (11256 nucleotides) under Brassica napus (rape). RNAcentral describes it as "long non-coding RNA (BNAP_LNC007460)". Lineage: Eukaryota; Viridiplantae; Streptophyta; Magnoliopsida; Brassicales; Brassicaceae. The record is from RNAcentral.
AGAGAAUGUGGCGUUCGUUGAAGCUGUGACCGGUAAAGCCGUCACGUACGGUGAUGUAGUGAGAGAUACAAAGAGGCUAGCCAAAGCGUUGACCUCACUUGGACUAAGGAAAGGUCAAGUAAUGGUUGUGGUUCUACCAAAUGUCGCCGAGUAUGGGAUUAUUGCCCUUGGCAUUAUGUCCGCCGGUGGAGUUUUCUCUGGCGCUAAUCCGACGGCUCUUGUCUCCGAGAUCAAGAAGCAAGUUGAAGCUUCUGGUGCUAGAGGAAUCAUCACUGAUUCUACUAACUUCGAAAAGGUAAAAUACAUAGGGUACUUUGUAUGUUUGUGUCUGUGCAUAUAAAUGUUUAAGACUAGACAUAUAAUUUGGUUCGUUUCGGUUAUUUUAGUAUUUGGUAUGCCCGAUUUUAUCACUUGUUAUAACCGUGUGUUAUUUUAGUUCAUGGUGAAAUGUUGGUUUGGUGGUGAAAUCUUAUUUUUGAAAAUUCAAAUGUGUUUUCUAUAUUUUUAUUUAUUUAUUUAUUUAGUUCUAUUAUAUUCGGGUUUGGUAUAGUUUUUGUCUGAAUUCAGUAUGAAAAAUUAACAAAAUAACGAUUUUAAUUAAUAUAUGCAAAUAUACUUGGUUGAUUUUGUUUGGUUGGACUAAGAUAAGAUUAAGGUUUAGACCUGGUUUUGGAGUGGAAGUUUGUUUGCAGAGCCAGUCCUACGCAUAGCAAAAUAAAACAUUUAUCUAUGAUCCCUAAAAUAUUACAAUAGGUAAGAUGUAUAUAUCAUUUGGUCCCUAAAUUGAUUAAAUUAAAUUUAUGUUUGAUCAUAAUUGUUCAAGUUCCAGAAAACUUUAGGACCAGUCCUAACUGGUCGGUUUAAGUCUUUAAGAUUGAGUUCUUUUUCCGGUAUCUAUUUUGGUUCGAGUUUGGUUCUAUCAAAAUCUACUGAUCCGCAUAUAAUGUACCUAUUUUGGACAGGUGAAGGCUUUAGGCUUACCGGUAAUAGUGUUAGGUGAAGAGAAGAUCGAAGGAGCAGUGAACUGGAAAGAUCUUCUAGAAGCAGGAGACAGAUCUGGAGAUAACAACAGAGAGAAGAUACUUCAGACAGAUCUAUGUGCACUUCCUUUCUCUUCAGGCACAACAGGAUUACAAAAAGGAGUGAUGCUCACACAUCGCAACCUCAUAGCAAAUCUUUGCUCUACUCUCUUCAGCGUCCGGUCUGAAAUGAUCGGCCAGAUCGUGACUCUUGGUUUGAUUCCGUUCUUUCACAUUUACGGUAUCGUUGGAAUCUGUUGUGCUACAAUGAAGAAUAAAGGCAAAGUUGUUGCUAUGAGUCGGUAUGAUCUAAGGCUUUUCUUGAAUGCUUUGAUUACUCAUGAGGUCUUGUUUGCGCCUAUUGUUCCACCUAUUAUAUUGAAUCUUGUCAAGAAUCCGAUCGUCGAUGAGUUUGAUCUUUCUAAGCUUAAACUCCGUUCUGUUAUGACUGCUGCCGCUCCCUUAGCCCCCGAGCUUCUCACUGCCUUUGAAGCCAAGUUUCCUAAUGUUCAAGUCCAAGAGGCAAGUUCAAAAGACCUAAAACCUUUUAUGUUUUUGUUGUUCUUUUUUAUUUUAUUUAUUAUUAUUAGCUAUGAGGAAUUCGAGCCAGGGCACAACGGAACCAAGUCCUUGUGUUUGGUCCUUUUUUGUUAUUGUUGUUUUCAAUCUAGGUUUCAUUAAUGUGUUAAUAGGCUUACGGAUUAACGGAGCAUAGCUGCAUUACUUUAACUCACGGUGAUCCUGAUAAAGGACAAGGAAUCGCGAAACGAAACUCUGUCGGAUUUAUACUUCCGAAUCUCGAGGUGAAGUUCAUAGAUCCUGACACUGGCCGGUCGCUUCCGAAGAACACUUCUGGUGAGCUCUGUGUGAGGAGCCAGUGUGUGAUGCAAGGUUACUUCGAGAACAAGGAAGAGACGGAGAAGACGAUCGAUGAAGAAGGUUGGCUUCACACUGGAGAUGUAGGUUACAUUGAUGAUGAUGGAGACAUUUUCAUCGUUGAUCGCAUCAAAGAACUUAUCAAAUACAAGGGCUUUCAGGUAACUUGAUUCACAAUUAAUCUUAGCUUGGUUUUCUUUUCCGGUUAUUUCCGGUUUGAGAAUGUUAUACUGAACUCCGUUUUUGGUCCAGAUUGGAUUUUCAUAUUUUUGUGCAGUUUUAUUUGGGAUCAAAAAGUUAAUCAACGUCUCAUUAUGCCUUUAAUUGUUUAUUUGUGUCUACUAAAAUUUUACGUAUAUGUGUUUGCAACAGUUAAAACCUUAAAGUUGGUUUGGUUAUGGAUCAGUCUUGUCUAAGUAAAUCAUUUACAUGUCUAAAAACAGAGUUGUUUAUUUUCCGGCAGGUGGCUCCGGCGGAGCUUGAAGCUAUUCUACUCACUCAUCCAUCAGUUGAAGACGUAGCCGUCGUGCCGUGAGUAUAUAUAUUGCCUUCUAAUUAUUAAAAAUUUGAAGAAUGGUUAAUUAAUUAAAAUAAAUAAUUUGGAAUAAAAUAAUGAGCAAAGGUUACCGGACGAGGAAGCGGGAGAGAUUCCGGUGGCUUGUGUUGUGAUGAAUCCAAAAGCGAAAGAGAAAGAAGAAGACAUCCUUAGCUUUGUUGCGGCAAAUGUGGCUCACUACAAGAAGAUCAGAGCCGUCCAUUUUGUGGAUUCAAUUCCCAAGUCUCUCUCUGGUAAAAUCAUGAGGAGGCUUCUCAGAGACAACAUCCUCAGCAUCAAGAAAACGCUAUUCUAAGUGGUUGAUUAACGGUUUGGUUAUCCAUUAAUUAGUCGCUUAAUUUAAUCUUCUUUUAUUAAGAAUGUUUUACUAUCAACGUUUUCAACGUUUCUGAUGUUUAACGGAGUAGACAAAACUAAUAACACACCAAGAACAUUCUACCUAGUUUGUUAGACUAGCUCCAAUUAAUGUAUUAAUCUCUACCAGAAAAUAUAAAACGAGUCCGUAGAAGGGCAAAUCUCCAAAAUACCACAUUUCUAAAUUUAUAUCACAAAAAUAACAUUCAAAAACUAAAAUGACCAAAAUAGCACCUUUCUAAGUUUAUCCUUUGAAAAUUUUAAUUUUUUUAUUUUUCAAAAUUUGAAAUCUUAUCCCAAAACUUCAUUUCUCAACUCUAAACCCUAAACCCUAAACCCUAAACUCUAAACCCUAAACCCUAAAAAACAUUGUUUGAGUGUAUUAUAUAUUUUUUAAUGAAAUUAUUAUAAUUAUGUAAAUCACGUGCUAAUAUUAUUUGCUUGUGUUUUAAAAGAUUUUAUAAAAUGGGCUAACUCUGAACUAACCCUAAUCCAGCUCUUCAAACAUAAACUAUUAGGACUAAAAUAGGAUUAGGGCUAGAAUAGGGUCUGGUUUAUAUUUUAUAGGCUGGGUGGGCUAAAAAACCCUAUAUAACAUCCCAAAAUUCAAGCAUAUUGUCUUUCAUCGAAAGCAUAGAAAAUCUUGGGUUUCGUCAAAAACAAGAGUAGGAACGCAAAUUUUACAAUAAGAUAAACCGAAUAGCUAUACAAUAUUUUAUUUUACAAAAAAAAACUAUACAAUAUUUAAAUAUAAAUCAAUAAAAAUACAUAAUACAAAUACAAAAACUUUAGGAAAAGACACUCGUACGAACAUAAAGUGAAGAACCAUAAGGAAAGCUUAUGUAAAUGCCUCAUAGACAGUUCAUGUUUUUUCAAAAUCCCAUGAUAUAAUUGCGGAACAAAAUCUGUAGAACAUUCUUUAUAUGUUAUACUCUCACGAGCAAAGAAAUAAACAAAAAAAAAAUAGUAGGAGUUGUUUUGUUGUGAUGUAGAAGCUCAUGUUGCUUUGUAUUUGCUUUUAUGAUAGAGUUUGUUGAAGAUUUGUUUGCAUUUUUGUGAAUAUUAGGUGUUUUCAUCUCACCUUCAUUAUUUAACAAGAUAAAAAGUACUUAAUAUAGAUUCAGAGGACUAUGAUCGAUGGAUCCACCAAUUUACAUAAGGGGUGUCAAAAUGAGCUAUAACUUAUGUGGUAGCUCAGCUCAGCUUGAUUUUUCAUGAUCAUGAGUUAUAUUUUUUAAAUUCAUUUAAUAAAUGAGUUUAAUGAACAAGCUUAAAUUAAAUCACGAGUUAUAUGAACAAUCUUAAAUGAACAUGAACCAACUCAUUAGCUUGGUCAUUUUUAUACUUAAAAUUAUAUAUAUCAUAUGUAAAUAAGAUAAUUUCUAUAUCAUCAUAUUUAUCUUCUAAAAUUACAAUGUAAAUCCAAAUUUAUUUAGAUAUAUAUAUAGAAUAUGUAAAAGAAAAUUUUAUAUACCCAUCAUCUGUCUUUAAAUUUAGAUGUAAAACAAAAUAUUCCUAAGAGACAAUUUAGAAAUUACUCGUAAUUAUCUUACUUAAUAUUUUUUUUUUUACAUUUAAAUUUUAUAAAACAUAAUAUAAAAAUCAUACUUUUAAUAUUAUAAGACUUAAUAAAACUUAUUUUAAUAUUUUAUUUUAUGAUAAUUAAUAUUUUAUAUUAAAUCGCGAGCUAUCUCGUUUUGCUCAUGAUCUUUAAUGAUAUGAGUUCAAGUUUACGUAUUAAAGUUCAUCUAAUAAAUGAGCUGAGCUAACUCUUGAAAGAUUCGAACUUACUAUGAGCUUAUGAGCUGAGCUGAGUUGAGCGAGAUAGCUCAUUUUUACAUAUUUAUAUAUAAGGAGCAUGUCACAAACACAAUCCUAUGUCGUUGUAGUGUUUGGUGAUCUUUUUCCACCGGCUUCAAAACCAACCUACGAUGCGUUCCGCAUAACCGGAACGCAUAACCCUGCUAAUUCUUAUGGUCAAAAAGAUCUCAUCUAAUCCAAUUGGGUCAAGUAAUGGGCUGCAACACUUAGCAUUUUUGUAACUGGGCUCAAGUCAGUUAAUCAGGCCUAAUCAUGUAGAGCUUUCCACCUCGACCAUUCAAUUUCAAAUGGUCGUCAUAUGACGUUUGGCUUUCUAAUGACACAAGCACGAAUCAUGCUCAUCAUUACUCAUUAGGAUAACGUUAACAAUGUACCAACUAUACUUUAUACUAGAGACAAAGUUAAACGUAGUAAUCAUAUAAUCUUUCCUUGGAAGCCUAGGUGAUACUACUUUCGUGAUGCUUUUUAACCACAGUACCAAAUCAUUUUCCUUUUCAAUAAAAUACACAAAUUAGACAGUCUCGUAACUUAACAAGUAACUCCAUAUAUAUGUAAAUUGUGUAUAAACGACUUUAUACGAAUACUCCAUGUUAAGUUGUCCAUCCUUGUAUUGUGUUGUGGUCUACAGUAUCAAAGAAAUUAAAUCAAAAGAAAUAGCCUUACCAAAACGUUAUAAAUAUAAUUAAUACCCACAACGUCUUCUACUUAACCGUUAAUUAAAAUAAUGUAUAUAUGUCUGUUAGGAAGUUUGGUCAUUCGAUCUUUAAUUAAUUUAAAAUAAAUUCACACUUCUGAUUACUAUUCGUAAUGGAGACAAAAAUGUUUAUAAUAAAAAAACUUAGGUGAAGGUUGCUGUAACCAUUGGGCUAACUGAUCUCAACCACAGCCACUUGAAGACAAAUAAUUCGUACAAAUAUAUAAUUACAUUGCAAUAAUUAUACUAGAUGCGUUUUAUUACCUCUUAUGAUUCUAAGCAAAGUUUGUCGCUCUGUAAGCAAGCCGAGAGAUACUAGUUAUUUGUACACUUAUAAGUUUUAUCAGUCUACCACGGAAGUUGAAGCAUCUCGUUAAUUGUUUCGUUUUAAAGUAAUACGAUUGUUCUCGGAGGUAGAAGCACUAAUGACGUUGACGAGAUACCAGAUACGGAACGAGUACGGCUUGGCGGAUAAGGAGCUCUACAGCGAUAAGGAAGAUGCUGAAGUUUUGCUCGAAGGUUCAUCAAUGGCUGGACUCGUCGGCCUUUUGCGCCAGCUUGGCGACCUCGCUGAGUAAGUUUCUUUCUUCCUAUUGGCUAUGAGGUGCCGUUUGAGAGAUCAUUUGAGUUUUGUUUAUCAUUUUAGUAUUUAUCUAGGAAUUUUACUCAUGCUUAUUUGAAACCAAUGUUUCAACUCUGUCCUUACUUUCACAUUUAAGGUUUGCUGGUGAAGUGUUCCAUAACCUGCAUGAAGAACUAAUGACAACUUCAGCACGAGGACAAGGUUUGGCAAUUCGUCUUCAACAGCUUGAAGCACAAGUUCCUAAUUCGGUUGAGAUACCUAUUUUGUCUCAAACCGAUCAUUCAACUUUCUUUUACGAUCCAGGCAAGUCAUCUUACUUUGGCUUAUAUAUAGUAUUAUAAGAGCUCUUAGGUGUUAUGUUGAUGGUAUAAUCAUUUUAUUUCAUUCAAGGCAAAUGGAAAUUUUGUGUGGAAUUGAUGAGCUAAGUCAUUGCACAUCAUUUUAAAAUGUCAAUUCAGCCUAUUCUAGUGUAUUGAUAUUUGAUAUUAGACUCCAGGCAUAGGAUUGAUUAGGUCAUGCAAUAUUUCAGGAUUGGAAUGGCAUUCUACUUUGAAAACAGAAGAACAUCUAAUUUAUCCACACAAGUUGCCUCAUUGUAUAAUUGAUUCAUAUGAGGAAUGUCGUGGUCCGCCCCAGCUCUACCUUCUUGACAAGUACAAUUUUCAGUAGAUUCAAGGAAGUUUCAGAAAUUUUCAUUAUAGUAAAACUUGGCUUACAAGUUUUUUUUUGUCUUUUUGUCUUUUUUCUGCUGUUUUUAAUUAAGGUUUGAUGUUGAUGGGUCUGGAUCAUGCUUGAAGCGUUACUCUGACCCAUCUUUGUUAAAGAAGCUUACUGCAUCACAACUCAGCAAAGAUGAGAGACCAAUCAAACCAAAGGUAUUUUAUUAACUACUCUUGUCACUUGUCUCUCCAAAACAAGCAUUUGGAAUGCAUAAUUUGUGUAUAUUAUGUGGUACAAUAUUUUUCAUCUACAGAAGAAAGCAUCACACAUUAGUAAUGGAGAGAGAACACUUGGGGAUUCACAAACAUCACAUGCUAAGUGAGCACCCAUAUGCUUUAUGUUUAGUUUUCUCUCAAGUCAUUACUGUUUCUGAAGUUUCAUAUGAUCAACUCUUUGAUUUGGUGACAAUCUGCUUUUUGGAUGGUACAGGUUGAAUCAGCUCUUCUUAAUGGACCAUGCUGAAGAUCCAGAAAUUACAGUUAAACUAAAGAGAAGACAUCUGAAUGGACCUCCUCCAAUUAACUCAAGCUCUGGGACAGGUUACAUGGAGAAGUUCCUGAAGAAUUCUUUGCCCUACUGUGAAAGAGUUCAUGAGACACUGGAUCAGUCAUCUUCAGCAAUGGAAACUGAUGAAGUUGCAACAUGCAACGUACGAGUGGACCUGUCAACACCUUCUUUGGUUUAUCCAAACAAUGGAGAGACUAGAAAAGAGAGGGAAAUGGAAGCCAUUGCUGAUGAUGAAAGAGAGGGAGGAGGAGCAAUGGUUUACAAUGACACAGAUGCACCACCUGCUUCCACAGAGACGGAAGCAGACAAGGCUGAUGUGACUCAAACAGGGGUCCUGGCUGCUAAUGUUCUGCACCACUCAACGGAGGAAGGAGCAUCUGAGGGUACCAAAGAUGUUCAAACAAAUGACGGUGAGGAUGAUCAUUCUCAACAUGUUUUUAGUGUGGAGACUGGAUCUGAGAUGUCUUUAACCGGUUUAGUAGAAGACCAGUUCUGUUCCUUAACCAAUCAAGAGACAGAGAAAGAGCCUGAUUGUCUUCUUAUUCAAAACCAGCAUAUUAGCACAUUUGACAACUUUGAAGAUUUAUCUGUGGAUGCUGAUGCAAUACAUGACAGUGCUGUCCCGAAAGAAGAAGAUGAAACCAGCUCACAAGAUGGAUAUUCCGUGAAUACCGAACACGAACACGCUGGACACGCUUCAACUUUUGAAACUCUGAUGUUAGAUACUCCGAGAGAUGUUCAAACAGGAAACAUAACCCCCUCGGCCUCAUAUUGGCAAGAAGACGCAUUAGCCAACUCUGAUCUAGCUGAGAUAUCAUCAUAUUCUGGAAAAGAGGAUCCACAAAACAUGCCUAUUAUUGCAGCUGGGAGUAGUGAUGGUACUGAUACUCAAAGAGAUGGUGCGGGUGAUAACCAUACUAGCCUGAAUGAUAAGGCCAGUGAGACCGUCCCCGAAGUAGCCUUAGAAGUAGAUCCAGAAGAGUGUCUUUUAGGUACUCAAGAAUGUUUGUCACCUGAGUAUUACAUACAGACACAUAGCCAAGGAGGGCAAGAGAGUCUAUCUGAAACAGACUCAGAAAAUACAACAGCAGAAGCAGCAGCCGAGUCUCUUCCUCCACAAGAUGUUCCUCUUGGUGUUCAGUAUUCAACUUCAGAGGAAACACUAACAUGCAACGAAAAUGAAGCUGAAGUAGAAGCUCUUAAUGCACCACACCAAGGAGAUAUCACAUCACUAAAUGGUAAUAUCCCUGAGUCUGUUCUCUCCAUGGAUCCGACUGAUCAAGAAAAUUGCUUGGAUGUGCCCAUGGCUCCCUUCUCCACGUCCCUCCAUGUAACACCUAUGGAAGAUCUUGAAAUAACGCCUCCUCUCCCGCCUCUCCCUCCAACACAAUGGUGGAUGGGGAAGCUGGUUGAUUCUGUCAAAACAACAGAAACUCAGUUCUCUCCAGUGCCAUCACUUGGGAACAACAGUUUCUACAUUCACAGGGAUGAGAAGAUACAUAAUGGAUUAGUUCAAGGGACCGAGGCACUAGAUCAGUCAGAAGCCUCAGUUACCGCAGAUGAAAGCCACAAUACUGAUGUUGAUCCAGUUGAAGCAGUGUUAACUUCAGCAAAAACUACUCUGAAUGAACCAUCUAAAGCAACCGAGGAGGAACAGUCUCCUUCAGAAUCAGUUGCUUGGGAGUCACUACUCACACCGGAAGCUACACCAGAGGCAGAAUCAACCGAAGGCUUAGAAGCACUUGAGUGGUUUAGUCAGAACUUAAAAGAGCAUACCAAUCCUAACCUUACAAAGCUAGAAGAGGAACCUCAGCUUGAUCAUCCACUAGAACCACCAGGAGAAACAGAAGGAGAUAAUAAAUCAUAUGAAUAUAAUGAGAAAGUUGAGAAGCUUCCAAGAGACAAGGAGUCUCUUGUUCUUGGCAUCGAUAGAAGCAUGGUGAUUAAUUACCUUAAAUUUUAUAUCUCUAUGGUUAGUUCAGUAUUUAUCUCUCUGACGUUAAUCACUUGACUUUUUUUGUUUAAUUACAGUUGAGGAAGGUGUCUGAAAGAAACAGGACACAACUUGGAGCUCGAGUGGAUGAGAAUGAUUCACUACUGGAGAUCAUACGCAGCAAGGUCAAACGCUCUAUACUUAUCUUCUUCUUUUUUUUCCUUUUGGCUUCACUAGUUUAGUAUAAACCAAUAACUGAUAAAAUGCAUUAGCAGUCAUUCAACUUGAGACCAGCAGAUGCAUCGGUGAGACACAACUUUCAAGUAGCUGCUCCCAUAACCAACUUGAAGGUCGCUGCAAUUCUAGAGAAAGCCAAUAGUCUUCGCCAUGUCUCUCUCUAACCUUAUUUGGUUUAAUUUGGAAAAUUACAUGUAUAAAAAAGAGAAAAAAGUUAUUGAUGUGUUAAUUUUUAUGUAGGCAAUGGCGGGAAGCGACGACGACCACGAUUCAGAUAGCUGGAGUGAGUGAAUGAGUCUCCAUGCAUGUAACCUGUAGAGGACAUAUUGAUCAUACACAUACACAAUACAUUUUUGUAAUUUGUAUAGAAGAAGUGUUAACUUCUUCUCAGAUUGUAUUUUUUUUUUUUGGUAUCUCGUAAUGUUUUUAUUGCUCUCUUUCACACAUAUGCAAUGUAUGUCACUCUCAGUUUUUUACUUUCUUUAUUGAAAAUUUUCAGUUAAUGAAUAAUUCGUUCUAAGAACAACAUUUCUGUGACUCAACAAAACUUCACCUAUGUCUAAGAAAGGCAAAGAAGGACUAACCUCUACUUUCCUCUUAAUUACCAAUAUUGGUUUGUACACACAUAUGAUAUGACAUGACGUAUGAACAAUAGAAAAUAUCCUCCUAUUUAUAAUAACUCUUUUGUAAUAACUCAAAUCGAAUUCAACUCAUCUGAAAAUGGAGACUCAAAAGCAAGACAAUGAACACAUUUUCCGCAGUCUAUAUCCAUCUGUGCCCAUUCCCGACAAGCUUACACUGGUAUGGAUUUGAAUUUGUUAUUUUUUUAACAAAGAAAAACUCUUUGAAUAUGAGUAUGUGGGAUUGUAUUCGGUUUGUUUGACUAUCCUAAUGAGAAUUACUUAAUUUAUUGUGUUCAGCCUGAGUUUGUGCUCCAAGGAGUAGAAGAAUUCACAGAGAAUGUGGCGUUCGUUGAAGCUGUGACCGGUAAAGCCGUCACGUACGGUGAUGUAGUGAGAGAUACAAAGAGGCUAGCCAAAGCGUUGACCUCACUUGGACUAAGGAAAGGUCAAGUAAUGGUUGUGGUUCUACCAAAUGUCGCCGAGUAUGGGAUUAUUGCCCUUGGCAUUAUGUCCGCCGGUGGAGUUUUCUCUGGCGCUAAUCCGACGGCUCUUGUCUCCGAGAUCAAGAAGCAAGUUGAAGCUUCUGGUGCUAGAGGAAUCAUCACUGAUUCUACUAACUUCGAAAAGGUAAAAUACAUAGGGUACUUUGUAUGUUUGUGUCUGUGCAUAUAAAUGUUUAAGACUAGACAUAUAAUUUGGUUCGUUUCGGUUAUUUUAGUAUUUGGUAUGCCCGAUUUUAUCACUUGUUAUAACCGUGUGUUAUUUUAGUUCAUGGUGAAAUGUUGGUUUGGUGGUGAAAUCUUAUUUUUGAAAAUUCAAAUGUGUUUUCUAUAUUUUUAUUUAUUUAUUUAUUUAGUUCUAUUAUAUUCGGGUUUGGUAUAGUUUUUGUCUGAAUUCAGUAUGAAAAAUUAACAAAAUAACGAUUUUAAUUAAUAUAUGCAAAUAUACUUGGUUGAUUUUGUUUGGUUGGACUAAGAUAAGAUUAAGGUUUAGACCUGGUUUUGGAGUGGAAGUUUGUUUGCAGAGCCAGUCCUACGCAUAGCAAAAUAAAACAUUUAUCUAUGAUCCCUAAAAUAUUACAAUAGGUAAGAUGUAUAUAUCAUUUGGUCCCUAAAUUGAUUAAAUUAAAUUUAUGUUUGAUCAUAAUUGUUCAAGUUCCAGAAAACUUUAGGACCAGUCCUAACUGGUCGGUUUAAGUCUUUAAGAUUGAGUUCUUUUUCCGGUAUCUAUUUUGGUUCGAGUUUGGUUCUAUCAAAAUCUACUGAUCCGCAUAUAAUGUACCUAUUUUGGACAGGUGAAGGCUUUAGGCUUACCGGUAAUAGUGUUAGGUGAA